RNAcentral lists this ribosomal RNA (904 nucleotides) under Pseudomonas sp. PPR8. RNAcentral's name for it is "bacterial SSU rRNA". It matches the Rfam family "Bacterial small subunit ribosomal RNA", at positions 44 to 944 of the family's 1533-position model. Lineage: Bacteria; Pseudomonadati; Pseudomonadota; Gammaproteobacteria; Pseudomonadales; Pseudomonadaceae. The record is from RNAcentral.
GGGCUAACCAUGCAAGGUCGAGCGGAUGAAGGGAGCUUGCUCCUGGAUUCAGCGGCGGACGGGUGAGUAAUGCCUAGGAAUCUGCCUGGUAGUGGGGGAUAACGUUCCGAAAGGAACGCUAAUACCGCGUACGUCCUACGGGAGAAAGCAGGGGACCUUCGGGCCUUGCGCUAUCAGAUGAGCCUAGGUCGGAUUAGCUAGUUGGUGAGGUAAUGGCUCACCAAGGCGACGAUCCGUAACUGGUCUGAGAGGAUGAUCAGUCACACUGGAACUGAGACACGGUCCAGACUCCUACGGGAGGCAGCAGUGGGGAAUAUUGGACAAUGGGCGAAAGCCUGAUCCAGCCAUGCCGCGUGUGUGAAGAAGGUCUUCGGAUUGUAAAGCACUUUAAGUUGGGAGGAAGGGCUGUAGGCUAAUAUCCUGCGGUUUUGACGUUACCAACAGAAUAAGCACCGGCUAACUUCGUGCCAGCAGCCGCGGUAAUACGAAGGGUGCAAGCGUUAAUCGGAAUUACUGGGCGUAAAGCGCGCGUAGGUGGUUCGUUAAGUUGGAUGUGAAAGCCCCGGGCUCAACCUGGGAACUGCAUCCAAAACUGGCGAGCUAGAGUACGGUAGAGGGUAGUGGAAUUUCCUGUGUAGCGGUGAAAUGCGUAGAUAUAGGAAGGAACACCAGUGGCGAAGGCGACUACCUGGACUGAUACUGACACUGAGGUGCGAAAGCGUGGGGAGCAAACAGGAUUAGAUACCCUGGUAGUCCACGCCGUAAACGAUGUCAACUAGCCGUUGGAAUCCUUGAGAUUUUAGUGGCGCAGCUAACGCAUUAAGUUGACCGCCUGGGGAGUACGGCCGCAAGGUUAAAACUCAAAUGAAUUGACGGGGGCCCGCACAAGCGGUGGAGCAUGUGG